This 333-nucleotide long non-coding RNA is filed under the name Nicotiana benthamiana. Its description in RNAcentral is "long non-coding RNA (NBEN_LNC033503)". Lineage: Eukaryota; Viridiplantae; Streptophyta; Magnoliopsida; Solanales; Solanaceae. The record is from RNAcentral.
GUCCGCUUCCCCAUAACUUCUCCAAGCUCCGCCCUCCACUAACCUCCUUUCCAACUCCUGUGCUUUCUCCUUAGACAAAGCUCCCCAUCUAAUCCACGGUUGACCCUGGGCGCCCCUCCGCUUCUUCUUCACCCAGAGAUCGACAUCAAUCACUAGAAGUCUAUGAAGAGUUGAAAGAGACUCUCCCGGAAUAACCUUGUAGUCCUUGCACAAGCCCCUAUCGCUCCUUCGGAUGAGGAUGUAAUCAAUCUGAGUCCUCGCCGCCGAACUCUUGAAGGUGACCAAAUGCUCCUCCCUCUUCCGGAAUGUCGAGUUCGCAAUCAGGAGCUCNNN